RNAcentral lists this ribosomal RNA (463 nucleotides) under uncultured bacterium. RNAcentral describes it as "partial 16S ribosomal RNA". It matches the Rfam family "Bacterial small subunit ribosomal RNA", at positions 338 to 795 of the family's 1533-position model. The record is from RNAcentral.
CCUACGGGUGGCAGCAGUGAGGAAUAUUGGUCAAUGGGCGGGAGCCUGAACCAGCAACGCCGCGUGCAGGAUGACGGCCCUCCGGGUUGUACAUUGUUUUUCGUUGGGAAUAAAAGGGGGGCUCGUGAGCCACGUAUUGUCUGUACCAUCCGAAAAAGGACCGGCUAAUUCCGUGCCAGCAGCCGCGGUAAUACGGAAGGUUCGGGCGUUAUCCGGAUUUAUUGGGUUUAAAGGGAGCGUAGGCGGGCAUUUAAGUCAGCUGUGAAAGUCCGCGGCUCAACCGUGGAAUUGCAGUUGAAACUGGAGGCCUUGAGUGCACACAGGGAUGCCGGAAUUCAUGGUGUAGCGGUGAAAUGCGUAGAUAUCAGGAAGAACUCCGAUCGCGAAGGCGAGUGUCCGGGGUGCAACUGACGCUGAGGCUCGAAAGUGCGGGUAGCAAACAGGAUUAGAUACCCUAGUAGUC